Molecule: ribosomal RNA, 1754 nt
Filed under: Escherichia coli
Lineage: Bacteria; Pseudomonadati; Pseudomonadota; Gammaproteobacteria; Enterobacterales; Enterobacteriaceae
Description: bacterial LSU rRNA
Rfam family: Bacterial large subunit ribosomal RNA
Source: RNAcentral
ACCCGAAACCCGGUGAUCUAGCCAUGGGCAGGUUGAAGGUUGGGUAACACUAACUGGAGGACCGAACCGACUAAUGUUGAAAAAUUAGCGGAUGACUUGUGGCUGGGGGUGAAAGGCCAAUCAAACCGGGAGAUAGCUGGUUCUCCCCGAAAGCUAUUUAGGUAGCGCCUCGUGAAUUCAUCUCCGGGGGUAGAGCACUGUUUCGGCAAGGGGGUCAUCCCGACUUACCAACCCGAUGCAAACUGCGAAUACCGGAGAAUGUUAUCACGGGAGACACACGGCGGGUGCUAACGUCCGUCGUGAAGAGGGAAACAACCCAGACCGCCAGCUAAGGUCCCAAAGUCAUGGUUAAGUGGGAAACGAUGUGGGAAGGCCCAGACAGCCAGGAUGUUGGCUUAGAAGCAGCCAUCAUUUAAAGAAAGCGUAAUAGCUCACUGGUCGAGUCGGCCUGCGCGGAAGAUGUAACGGGGCUAAACCAUGCACCGAAGCUGCGGCAGCGACGCUUAUGCGUUGUUGGGUAGGGGAGCGUUCUGUAAGCCUGUGAAGGUGUGCUGUGAGGCAUGCUGGAGGUAUCAGAAGUGCGAAUGCUGACAUAAGUAACGAUAAAGCGGGUGAAAAGCCCGCUCGCCGGAAGACCAAGGGUUCCUGUCCAACGUUAAUCGGGGCAGGGUGAGUCGACCCCUAAGGCGAGGCCGAAAGGCGUAGUCGAUGGGAAACAGGUUAAUAUUCCUGUACUUGGUGUUACUGCGAAGGGGGGACGGAGAAGGCUAUGUUGGCCGGGCGACGGUUGUCCCGGUUUAAGCGUGUAGGCUGGUUUUCCAGGCAAAUCCGGAAAAUCAAGGCUGAGGCGUGAUGACGAGGCACUACGGUGCUGAAGCAACAAAUGCCCUGCUUCCAGGAAAAGCCUCUAAGCAUCAGGUAACAUCAAAUCGUACCCCAAACCGACACAGGUGGUCAGGUAGAGAAUACCAAGGCGCUUGAGAGAACUCGGGUGAAGGAACUAGGCAAAAUGGUGCCGUAACUUCGGGAGAAGGCACGCUGAUAUGUAGGUGAAGUCCCUCGCGGAUGGAGCUGAAAUCAGUCGAAGAUACCAGCUGGCUGCAACUGUUUAUUAAAAACACAGCACUGUGCAAACACGAAAGUGGACGUAUACGGUGUGACGCCUGCCCGGUGCCGGAAGGUUAAUUGAUGGGGUCAGCGCAAGCGAAGCUCUUGAUCGAAGCCCCGGUAAACGGCGGCCGUAACUAUAACGGUCCUAAGGUAGCGAAAUUCCUUGUCGGGUAAGUUCCGACCUGCACGAAUGGCGUAAUGAUGGCUAGGCUGUCUCCACCCGAGACUCAGUGAAAUUGAACUCGCUGUGAAGAUGCAGUGUACCCGCGGCAAGACGGAAAGACCCCGUGAACCUUUACUAUAGCUUGACACUGAACAUUGAGCCUUGAUGUGUAGGAUAGGUGGGAGGCUUUGAAGUGUGGACGCCAGUCUGCAUGGAGCCGACCUUGAAAUACCACCCUUUAAUGUUUGAUGUUCUAACGUUGACCCGUAAUCCGGGUUGCGGACAGUGUCUGGUGGGUAGUUUGACUGGGGCGGUCUCCUCCUAAAGAGUAACGGAGGAGCACGAAGGUUGGCUAAUCCUGGUCGGACAUCAGGAGGUUAGUGCAAUGGCAUAAGCCAGCUUGACUGCGAGCGUGACGGCGCGAGCAGGUGCGAAAGCAGGUCAUAGUGAUCCGGUGGUUCUGAAUGGAAGGGCCAUCGCU